Molecule: ribosomal RNA, 205 nt
Filed under: uncultured bacterium
Lineage: Bacteria
Description: partial 16S ribosomal RNA
Rfam family: Bacterial small subunit ribosomal RNA
Source: RNAcentral
UGCGCAGGCGGUUGAGUAAGACAGAUGUGAAAUCCCCGAGCUUAACUCGGGAAUGGCAUAUGUGACUGCUCGACUAGAGUGUGUCAGAGGGAGGUGGAAUUCCACGUGUAGCAGUGAAAUGCGUAGAUAUGUGGAAGAACACCGAUGGCGAAGGCAGCCUCCUGGGACAUAACUGAGCUCAGGCACGAAAGCUGGGGAGCAAACA